This 339-nucleotide long non-coding RNA is filed under the name Athene cunicularia (burrowing owl). Its description in RNAcentral is "lncRNA (ENSACUG00000009769.1)". The record is from RNAcentral. Lineage: Eukaryota; Metazoa; Chordata; Aves; Strigiformes; Strigidae.
GGAGCAGCUCAUGCAAGGGCAAGAAGAUGCCAACGGCUGUAUCAACUAUGAAGCUUUUGUCAAGCACAUCAUGUCUGGCUGAAAGAAGAAACUUCAGGCUCUCAGAGAUGUUUGAACUCACCUGAGCACACGAAGAGCGAGAUGCCUCCAUCCAUGUCCCUUCCUCCCUGGACGUUGCACAUCUACAGAGAUGUUUCACAUGAACCACCAUGAAGAGUUGGCCUCCCCGUGUGUGUGUGACUAAGCCUUGGUAUACAACGAGACAUCUGCAACUUGGUUUUCAACCUUAAGUUAUUCUUUUCAGGUUUUGACUUUUGGCUCAUUAAAUUUCAUUCCUUC